GUGCCAGCUCCAAUAGACCGUAAGCUACGGUCUCAAAAUCGUAGCCUACGGUCGGUCUUUAGCAUGUGUAAUCGGACCGGGUUGAACCUGAUUUGACCCAAAUUUAAAGAAUUAAACUAUUUGAACCGAGUCCACGUAAAUAAAAUCAGAUUUUUAAAGUGAAUCUCCACCACAAACGCCCUAUAACAUAACCUACCAUCUUCAUCUUCUUCCUCAAGUGCUUCAAACCUCAAUAGCUACCAAUCUCUCUAAAAUCUUCGUUCCUUAGCCAAAUCAAGCGAUUCAAGAGCCUAACUUGGCUGUUUUUUCGAGAGUAACAAAACCCUACCCUCGGUUUUCACCGAAAACGCCCAGAUUCACACAAAUUAGAUCGAGUUCGAAGAACCCUAAAAUUCAAAUUUGGGGUUUUUUGCUCAAACUUCAUAAGCAAGCUAUUUAAGUGUUCUCUAGCCCUUUUAAACUAAAAAGGCAUGAUUUUUCCUACAAUUUUCCUCUGAUUUGAUGAAGUCAAGCUGAUACUAAUACACGCUAGAACAAUUGUAUAAUCCGUGAGACCUCCCCACACUUGUUCUAAACUAUGGCUCAACUUGUUAACUAGUUAAAUCAUUACCCAAGAUAUUCCCCAAAAUUCACAACUUCAAAUAAAAUUCAGAAUAUGGUUCAUUAACUAGCUUUAAAACAGAUUCAAAGACAUUCCCCUAAGCCAUAACAUCAAUCCAACCCCUCAUGUAACAAUUUUUCCCGUUUUAAUUCAUUAACCAAGAUAAAAUCACAAUUUCAUGAAUCAUUACAUGUCUAUUCCAUCCUUAAAUGACUAUCUAAACAUGAACAAAGAAUGAACAUAACAAAACUACCUUGACUUCAUCAAAUCAGAGGAAAAUUGUAGGAAAAAAAUCAUACCUUUUUAGUUUAGAAGGGCUAGAGAACACUUAAAUAGAUUGCUUAUGAAGUUUGAGCAAAACGCCCCAAAUUUGAAUUUUAGGGUUCUUCGAACUCGAUCUGAUUUGUAUGAAUCUGGGCGUUUUCAAUGAAAACCGAGGGUAGGGUUUUGUUACUCUCGAAAAAAUAGCCAAGUUAGGCUCUUGAAUCGCUUGAUUUGGCUAAGGAACAAAGAUUUUAGAGAGCUUGGUAGCUAUGGAGGUUUGAAGCACUUGAGGAAGAAGAUGAAGAUGGUAGGUUAUGUUAUACGGUGUUUGUGGUGGAGAAUCACUUUAAAAAUCUGAUUUUAUUUAGGUGGACUCGGUUUAAAUAGUUUAAUUGUUUAAAUUUGGGUCAAAUCAGGUUCAACGCGGUCCCAUUACACAUGCUAAAGACCGACCGUAGGCUACGGUUUUGAUACCGUAGCUUACGGUCUAUUGGAGCUGGCACCAAAACGAUCAGAGUUUCAUAACCGUAGCCUACGGUUAUGAACCCGUAAGCUACGGUUCACUUUCAAUGGUGGACAGAAGUUUUAAACCGUAACCUACGGUUACGGAUCGUAAGCUACGGUUGGCUCUUUAAUUUUUUUUAAUGGUUUAAAGUUGUUGUUUGUAGUAUCAACUAAUUUAAUUUAAUUUAUUCAUUUCUCUUA
Long non-coding RNA from Helianthus annuus (common sunflower), 1570 nucleotides. RefSeq lists it as uncharacterized. The record is from RefSeq and is a predicted model, not a curated record. The transcript has 2 exons. NCBI's taxonomy places the organism in Eukaryota, Viridiplantae, Streptophyta, Magnoliopsida, Asterales, Asteraceae.